GAUGAAGAACGUAGCGAAAUGCGAUAAGUAGUGUGAAUUGCAGAAUUCAGUGAAUCAUCGAAUCUUUGAACGCACAUUGCGCCCUUUGGUAUUCCAAAGGGCAUGCCUGUUCGAGCGUCAUUUGUACCCUCAAGCUUUGCUUGGUGUUGGGCGUCUUGUCUCUAGCUUUGCUGGAGACUCGCAUUAAAGUAAUUGGCAGCCGGCCUACUGGUUUCGGAGCGCAGCACAAGUCGCACUCUCUAUCAGCAAAGGUCUAGCAUCCAUUAAGCCUUUUUUUCAACUUUUGACCUCGGAUCAGGUAGGGAUACCCGCUGAACUUAAGCAUAUCAAUAAGCGGAGGA
Molecule: unclassified non-coding RNA, 341 nt
Filed under: soil metagenome
Description: partial contains 5.8S ribosomal RNA, internal transcribed spacer 2, and large subunit ribosomal RNA
Rfam family: 5.8S ribosomal RNA (bases 1-120)
Source: RNAcentral